Carya illinoinensis is the source of this 6090-nucleotide RNA transcript. It is a transcript of the gene named disease resistance protein RPV1-like, with no coding region annotated. The transcript has 19 exons. Lineage: Eukaryota; Viridiplantae; Streptophyta; Magnoliopsida; Fagales; Juglandaceae. The record is from RefSeq and is a predicted model, not a curated record.
GCGAAUCACGCCAGAUUAAAAAGCAAAAAAAAAAGGUUCUGCAUGUGCACCUCCACUUCUUCCCAUUUCAAUAACCUUUUGACUACACAAACCGAAGGUUGAUGCUGUCUACCUUGAACUUUCCAUCUCAGGUUGACCACUACUACUAGUACUCCAUACAUGACCAUCCUCAUUGUUCUUCUCAUUGUCUAAGCCAGCAAAUUACCAAUAUUUCCUUCCACAAUUAAGCUUCUAAAUCUCUCGCAUUUGCAUUCAUGGCCACUCAAACACCCUCUUCAUCUACUUCCGAACAUACUAAGAUAAGAAAAAGAGGCAAUUCAUCUUGUUCGGAAGAAGAUGAAAAAAUCAUAACCUCUUCCCCAACUUCUUCCUCGACUCCUCGAUGGAAAUAUGAAGUUUUCCUUAGUUUCUAUGGCAAAGACACUCGCAUGAGCUUUACGGAUCAUCUAUAUGUUGAUUUAAAACGGAAAGGUAUUCUCGUCUUUAGGGAUGAUGAAGCACUCAAGCGAGGAAAAUGCAUUUCUCAAGAGCUUUCGCAAGCAAUUCAAGAAUCUCAAUCUGCCAUAGUCAUUUUUUCAGCAAAGUAUGCUUCUUCCGAAUGGUGCCUUAGGGAACUUGCCGAGAUCGUUGAAUGGGAGGAAAAGAAUGAUCUCAUAAUUAUUCCUAUUUUCUACCAUGUGGAUCCUUCAGACGUAAGAAAUCAAAGAGGGACUUUUAAAGAAGCUUUCGCUGCACAUGAAAAAGAUCCCAAGGUAGACAUCAAAGAGAUUGAUACGUGGAGAAAUGCUUGCAUAAAAGUCGGUAAUCUUGCCGGAGAGCACAUAAAGGGGGACAGGUACGAAUCAACAAUUAUAAAAGAAAUCGGUAGACGUAUAGCUCAUGAGUUGAAUUCUAGAUUCUCACGUCAUGAUUACAAUAAACUUGUUGCAAUAGACUCCCAUGUAGACAGAAUGAUAGAGUUACUGGAUAUGGAAUCAGAUGAUGUUCGCUUUGUAGGAAUUCAUGGGAUGGGUGGCGUUGGUAAGACAAUGCUGGCUGAAAUAAUUUAUGAUAGAGUUUCUAAUUGUCGAUUUGAAGGAAGCAGCUUUAUUUCUUGCAUUAGAGAAGAAUCUAAAGCUCGUGGUCUAGCUUCUUUACAAAAACAACUUCUUUCUAUGAUCAUGGAAGAAAAAAUACAAAUAUGGGAUCAAAACCAUGGAGAUCGGAUGAGAAAGAAGAUCCUGCAUAAUAAAAAGGUUUUUAUCGUCCUUGAUGAUGUGGAUAGUGACGAGCAACUAACGGCAUUAGCAGGGGAUCGGAAAUGGUUUGGUCCAGGGAGUAGGGUGAUCAUAACAUGCAGAGAUAGUCAUCUAUUGAGAAGAUAUGAAGUGAAUCCUAUCUAUAAGGUUGAGCAGCUUGAAAUAGCAGAAGCUUUGCAACUCUUUAGUUUGUCAGCCUUCAAGGAAACCCAUCCAAUAGAGGAUUACAUGGAUCUAUCUAUGGAUUUUGUAAAUUAUGCUCAAGGCCUUCCUUUGGCUCUUAAAGUUUUGGGUUCCUUCCUAUAUGAGAGAGAAAUAGAUGCGUGGAAAAGUGAGAAAGAUAAACUAAAAGCAUUUCCGAAUCCAAAAAUUAUGGAUGUACUUCAAAUAAGUUUUAAUGGGCUGCAGAAAUCACAAAAAGACUUAUUUUUGGAUAUGGCGUGUUAUUUCCGAGGACAGCAUGGGGUGGAUUACAUAUUUGAUGAUGACAUGGCAGAAAGUUUUGGUCAUUAUCGCAUUGAUGUUGACGUUCUCAUUGAGAAGUCCCUCUUAAGCAAAUCAGAAUAUGGAUUGUUGUCCAUGCAUGAUUUGCUAAAAGAAAUGGGCCAGGAAAUAGUUCAGCGUGAAUGCCCUCAAGAACCAGGAAAACGUAGUAGAAUCUUUUGCUUGGAGGAUCUAUAUCAAGUAUUGAAGAAUGAUGCUGGAACUGAUGCAAUUAAAGGCAUAGCCGUGUAUUCUUGUCCUGAAAUGAAACAGAGACUCAAUGCCAAAGCAUUGUCAAAAAUGACAAAAUUGAGAUUUUUUAAAUUCCAUCAUUCUCAAUCUAUAAAAUGGCAUGGAAAACCUUUAAACUACAUGCAAACCAAUGAGUUGCGAUUCAUAGAGUGGUUUGGAUAUCAUUUGAAAUCUUGGCCGAGCAGUUUCAAACCAAAAAAUCUUACUGUACUAAGGAUGUAUUCCAGCCAGAUCAAACAAUUAUGGAAGGGGUCGAUGGAUUUAGACAAUUUGAAGGAAUUAGAUAUGGGUCAUUCUGAGAAUUUGAUUGAAACUCCAGAUUUGAGUGGAGCCCCAAAUCUUGAGAUAAUAGACUUUCAAAAUUGUAGAAGUUUAUGCGAGGUCCACCCAUCCAUUAAAGAGCUCAAACAACUAAAACAAUUAUCCAUGGCUGGCACAGGAAUCAAACACCUAUGGAAGGGGACGUUGGUGGUUUUACACAAUUUGAAGAUCUUAAAUUUGAGUAAUUGUAACAACUUGAUUGAAACACCAGAUUUGACAGGAACUCCAAAUCUUGAGGAAAUAAACUUUACAGAUUGUACAAACUUGCGUGAGGUCCACCCAUCCAUCAAAGUGCUCAAGCAAAUACAAAUAAUAAGGAUAAUUGGCACUGGAAUCAAACACCUAUGGAAGGGGACGUUGGUGGUUUUACACAAUUUGAAGUUCUUAGCUUUGAGUUAUUGUAAAAACUUGAUUGAAACACCAGAUUUGACAGGAACUCCAAAUCUUGAGGAAAUAUACUUUACAGGUUGUACAAACUUGUGUGAGGUCCACCCAUCCAUCAAAGUGCUCAAACAAAUUAAAAAAAUAAUGAUAAUUGGCACUGGAAUCAAACAACUAUGGAAGGGGUCGUUAAUGGAUUUAGACAAUUUGAAGAAAUUAGAUAUGGGUCAUUCUGAGAAUUUGAUUGAAACUCCAGAUUUGAGUGGAGCCCCAAAUCUUGAGAUAAUAGACUUUCAAAAUUGUAGAAGUUUAUGCGAGGUCCACCCAUCCAUUAAAGAGCUCAAACAACUAAAACAAUUAUCCAUGGCUGGCACAGGAAUCAAACACCUAUGGAAGGGGACGUUGGUGGUUUUACACAAUUUGAAGAUCUUAAAUUUGAGUAAUUGUAAAAACUUGAUUGAAACACCAGAUUUGACAAGAACUCCAAAUCUUGAGGAAAUAGACUUUACAGGUUGUACAAACUUGUGUGAGGUCCACCCAUCCAUCAAAGUGCUCAAACAAAUUAAAAAAAUAAUGAUAAUUGGCACUGGAAUCAAACAACUAUGGAAGGGGUCGUUAAUGGUUUUACACAAUUUGAAGAAAUUACAUAUGGGUGAUUCUGAGAAUUUGAUUGAAACUCCAGAUUUGAGUGGAGCCCCAAAUCUUGAGAUAAUAUACUUUCAAAAUUGUAGAAGUUUAUGUGAGGUCCACCCAUCCAUUAAAGAGCUCAAACAACUAAAAGAAUUAUCCAUGAUUGGCACCGGAAUCAAACACCUAUGGAAGGGGACGUUGGUGGUUUUACACAAUUUAAAGAUCUUAGCUUUGAGUUAUUGUAAAAACUUGAUUGAAACACCAGAUUUGACAGGAACUCCAAAUCUUGAGGAAAUAUACUUUACAGGUUGUACAAACUUGUGUGAGGUCCACCCAUCCAUCAAAGUGCUCAAACAAAUUAAAAAAAUAAUGAUAAUUGGCACUGGAAUCAAACAACUAUGGAAGGGGUCGUUAAUGGAUUUUGACAAUUUGAAGGAAUUAGAUAUGGGUGAUUCUGAGAAUUUGAUUGAAACUUCAGAUUUGAGUGGAGCCCCAAAUCCUGAGAUAAUAGACUUUCAAAAUUGUAGAAGUUUAUGUGAGGUCCACCCAUCCAUUAAAGAGCUCAAACAACUAAAAGAAUUAUCCAUGAUUGGCACCGGAAUCAAACACCUAUGGAAGGGGACGUUGGUGGUUUUACACAAUUUGAAGAUCUUAAAUUUGAGUGAUUGUAAAAACUUGAUUGAAACACCAGAUUUGACAGGAACUCCAAAUCUUGAGGAAAUAUACUUUAUAGGUUGUACAAACUUGCGUGAGGUCCACCCAUCCAUUAAAGAGCUCAAACAACUAAAAGAAUUAUCCAUGAUUGGCACCGGAAUCAAACACCUAUGGAAGGGGACGUUGGUGGUUUUACACAAUUUGAAGAUCUUAGAUCUGACUAAUUGUAAGAACUUGAUUGAACUACCAGAUUUGACAGGAGCCCAAAAUCUUGAGGAAAUAUACAUUACAGGUUGUACAAGCUUGUGUGAGGUCCACCCAUCCAUCAAAGUGCUCAAACAAAUUCAAAAAAUAAUAAUAAUUGGCACUGGAAUCAAACAACUAUGGAAUGGGUCGUUAAUGGAUUUAGACAAUUUGAAGGAAUUAGAUAUGGGUGAUUCUGAGAAUUUGAUUGAAACUCCAGAUUUGAGUGGAGCCCCAAAUCUUGAGAUAAUAGACUUUCAAAAUUGUAGAAGUUUAUGUGAGGUCCACCCAUCCAUUAAAGAGCUCAAACAACUAAAAGAAUUAUCCAUGAUUGGCACCGGAAUCAAACAACUAUGGAAUGGGACGUUGGUGGGUUUAGACAAUUUGAAGAUCUUAGAUCUGGGUGAUUGUAAGAACUUGAUUGAAACACCAGAUUUGUCAGGAACCCCAAAUCUUGAGGAAAUAGACUUUAUAGGUUGUACAAACUUGUGUGAGGUCCACCCAUCCAUCAAAGUGCUCAAGCAAAUACAGAAAAUAAUAAUGGCUGGCACAGGAAUCAAACACCUAUGGAAGGGGACGUCAGUGGGUUUAGACAAUUUAAAGAUCUUAGAUCUGGGUGAUUGUAAGAACUUGAUUGAAAUACCAGAUUUGACAGGUGCCCAAAAUCUUGAGGAAAUAUACGUUACAGGUUGUCUAAGCUUUUGUAAGGUCCACCCAUCCAUCAAAGUGCUCAAACAAAUUCAAAAAAUAAUAAUGGCUGGCACUGGAAUCAAACAACUAUGGGAGGGGACGUUGGUGCAGGUUUUACAGAAUUUGAAGAUCUUAGAUUUGAGUAAUUGUAAGAACUUGAUUGAAAUACCAGAUUUGACAGGAGCCCAAAAUCUUGAGGAAAUAUACUUAACAGGUUGUACAAGCCUGUGUGAGGACCACCGAUCCAUGAAAGUUCUCAAGCAAAGACAAAAAAUAAAAAUGGUUGGCUAAGGGAAUCAAACAACUAUGGAAGGGGAUGUAGGUUGUAGGUUUUUCACUCGUAUAAAUACGUUUUAGAGAAUUUGAAGAUCUUAAAUCUGAAUCAAUCUAAGAACUUGUUUGAAACACCAAAUUUGAGUGGAGCCCCAAAUCCUUAGGAAAUCUAGUUUGGAGGUUGUACAAGCUUGUGUGAGGUCCACCCGUCUGUCAAAAAUCUCAAGCAACUACGAAAAAUAAUAAUCGCUGGCACUGGAAUCAAACAACUAUCGAAGGGGAACUUGGGGGUUUUAGACAAUUUGAAGAUCUUAAAACUGAGUAAUUGUCAGAACUUGAUUGAAAUACUAGAUUUGAGUGGAGCCCCAAAUCUUGAGAUAAUAGACCUUAUAGAUUGUACAAGCUUGUGUGUGGUCCACCCAUCCAUCAAAGAUCUUAAACGACUAGAAGAUUUAAGAAUGUCAGGUACCGGAAUCAGUCAACUAUGGAAAUGGACGUUGGUGGUAAAUAUUUCCCUCGUAUAAAUACGUAUUGAUCUUCUUAAUAAUCCACCUUCAUAUAUAUUUUUUCAAAUAAGUUAAUAUAUUCAUACUUAGAUCUAUUUUAAAACUACUUGUUUGUUUAUAACAUGUUUUAGACAAUUUGAAUUUCUUAAACCUAAGUAAUUGUAAGAACUUGAUUGAAAUACCAGAUCUGAGUGGAGUCCCAAAUCUUGAGAUAAUAGACCUUGCAGAUUGUACAAGAUUGUGUGAGGUCCACCCAUCCAUCAAAGAGCUCAAAUGACUAGAAGAUUUAAUAUUGUCAGGUACCGGAAUCAAACAACUAUGGAAGGGGACGUUGUGUGACGCCCCCAAAUUCCGUUUGGGACGGACAUUUGAAGCGUCGAGACAUGUAACACAAGGUUACCUGGCCCCGUUCAUGACAU